UGUUUAACAGCACACUUACAGAAGAUGAUGUUUUUUUAUGUCCAGUUGAUGGGUCCAUUAUGAUAACAGGUAGAUUAAACAUGUUAUUAAACAUAUCCGGUGUGCUAUGGGAAAUUGCUAUAGCUUGCAGGAAGACCAUAUAUAUUUAAUUUUCAUGGGUCUUGCAGUAAAAUAGGACCAUUAGAUAUGUAAUUUUCAUAUAUUGUAAUUUUGCAUUUUGUAAUAUAAUGUAUAAAUACCAAAUAAUAUAAUAUGUAGGGAAUUGCAUUAUGUGUUGCAUGCAUUUUACAUGAUAAA
Carya illinoinensis is the source of this 297-nucleotide long non-coding RNA. RefSeq lists it as uncharacterized. The transcript has 2 exons. Lineage: Eukaryota; Viridiplantae; Streptophyta; Magnoliopsida; Fagales; Juglandaceae. The record is from RefSeq and is a predicted model, not a curated record.